This 267-nucleotide ribosomal RNA is filed under the name uncultured bacterium. RNAcentral's name for it is "partial 16S ribosomal RNA". It matches the Rfam family "Bacterial small subunit ribosomal RNA", at positions 87 to 353 of the family's 1533-position model. The record is from RNAcentral.
GAUGGCGACCGGCGCACGGGUGAGUAACACGUAUCCAACCUGCCGAUGACUCGGGGAUAGCCUUUCGAAAGAAAGAUUAAUACCCGAUGGCAUAGUUCUUCCGCAUGGUGGAACUAUUAAAGAAUUUCGGUCAUCGAUGGGGAUGCGUUCCAUUAGGUUGUUGGCGGGGUACCGGCCCACCAAGCCUUCGAUGGAUAGGGGUUCUGAGAGGAAGGUCCCCCACAUUGGAACUGAGACACGGUCCAAACUCCUACGGGAGGCAGCAUG